GCCUUAUAUUUACUGGGUUUGUGGCGAUUUCUUACUCUUUGAUCAACGUCGAUAAAUGUCGCAUCUUGAUGAUUUGUAAUCAUCAGGUGGCGGGUUCGAGUCCUGCAGCCGGCACCA
Molecule: transfer RNA, 117 nt
Filed under: Burkholderia vietnamiensis
Lineage: Bacteria; Pseudomonadati; Pseudomonadota; Betaproteobacteria; Burkholderiales; Burkholderiaceae
Description: tRNA-Ser
Source: RNAcentral